UUUCCGUAGGUGAACCUGCGGAGGGAUCAUUACCGAGAAUAUGACCUUCGAGGUAUAUCUCCCCCCCUUUGUUUAUUUUACCUUUGUCGCUUUUCCCGGCCCGUCUUCGGACCCCCUGCUUCAGCUGCUCUUUGCUUCCCAGGGGACCCAAAACUCUUAUUAUUAAUCUCUUAUAAGUACUAUAAACGGAUUACAACUUUCAACCACGGAUCACUUAGUUAUGGCAUCGAUGAAGCACGCAUCAGAACUGCAGACCCCACUUCUGAACUCCAGUCCCCC
Molecule: unclassified non-coding RNA, 279 nt
Filed under: plant metagenome
Description: partial contains small subunit ribosomal RNA, internal transcribed spacer 1, and 5.8S ribosomal RNA
Source: RNAcentral